UACCGGCUGCUCGAGUGAUGGCCACUAUUACUGGGUUUAAAGCGUCCGUAGCUUGACUGUUAGGUCUCUUGGGAAAUCUUCACGCUCAACGUGAAGGCGUCUAAGAGAUACCGGCAGUCUUGGAACUGGGAGAGGUAAACCGUACUUCGGGGGUAGGAGUGAAAUCUUGUAAUCCUCGAGGGACGACCUAUGGCGAAGGCAGUUUACCAGAACAGCUUCGACAGUGAGGGACGAAAGCUGGGGGA
This 245-nucleotide ribosomal RNA is filed under the name uncultured Methanocorpusculum sp. RNAcentral's name for it is "partial 16S ribosomal RNA". It matches the Rfam family "Archaeal small subunit ribosomal RNA", at positions 474 to 718 of the family's 1478-position model. The record is from RNAcentral. Lineage: Archaea; Methanobacteriati; Methanobacteriota; Methanomicrobia; Methanomicrobiales; Methanocorpusculaceae.